GAUCCUGGCUCAGAUUGAACGCUGGCGGCAGGCCUAACACAUGCAAGUCGAACGGUAACAGGGAUCAGCUUGCUGAUUCGCUGACGAGUGGCGGACGGGUGAGUAAUGUCUGGGAAACUGCCUGAUGGAGGGGGAUAACUACUGGAAACGGUAGCUAAUACCGCAUAACGUCGCAAGACCAAAGAGGGGGACCUUCGGGCCUCUUGCCAUCGGAUGUGCCCAGAUGGGAUUAGCUAG
RNAcentral lists this ribosomal RNA (237 nucleotides) under uncultured bacterium. Its description in RNAcentral is "partial 16S ribosomal RNA". It matches the Rfam family "Bacterial small subunit ribosomal RNA", at positions 15 to 248 of the family's 1533-position model. The record is from RNAcentral.